Molecule: ribosomal RNA, 251 nt
Filed under: Solobacterium sp.
Lineage: Bacteria; Bacillati; Bacillota; Erysipelotrichia; Erysipelotrichales; Erysipelotrichaceae
Description: partial 23S ribosomal RNA
Rfam family: Bacterial large subunit ribosomal RNA
Source: RNAcentral
CCUAGUACGAGAGGACCAGAGUGGACUUACCGCUGGUGUACCAGUUGUCUCGCCAGAGGCAUCGCUGGGUAGCUAUGUAGGGAAGGGAUAAACGCUGAAAGCAUCUAAGUGUGAAACCCACCUCAAGAUGAGAUUUCCCAUGAUUUUAUAUCAGUAAGAGCCCUGAGAGAUGAUCAGGUAGAUAGGUUAGAAGUGGAAGUGUGGUGACACAUGUAGCGGACUAAUACUAAUAGCUCGAGGACUUAUCCAAA